RNAcentral lists this non-coding RNA (111 nucleotides) under Mycobacterium celatum. RNAcentral's name for it is "TPP sequence". It matches the Rfam family "TPP riboswitch aptamer (THI element)". From Rfam's summary of the family: Vitamin B(1) in its active form thiamin pyrophosphate (TPP) is an essential coenzyme that is synthesised by coupling of pyrimidine and thiazole moieties in bacteria. Lineage: Bacteria; Bacillati; Actinomycetota; Actinomycetes; Mycobacteriales; Mycobacteriaceae. The record is from RNAcentral.
AUCCAACACCGCGGGAGCUCACCCAAGUGAGCUGAGAGGACGGCUCGGGGGCCGUCGACCGUAUGAACCUGACCGGGUAAUGCCGGCGUAGGGAGAAGGAAUGACCGUCAC